CCUACGGGUGGCUGCAGUCGAGAAUCUUCGGCAAUGGGGGCAACCCUGACCGAGCGACGCCGCGUGGUGGAUGAAGGCCUUCGGGUUGUAAACACCUGUUGGGGGGGAACAAUUUUGAGUGAACCCCUGAGGAAGCACGGGCUAAGUUCGUGCCAGCAGCCGCGGUAAGACGAACCGUGCGAACGUUACUCGGAAUCACUGGGCUUAAAGAGCACGUAGGCGGCGACCUAAGUCAGAGGUGAAAUCCCAUCGGCUCAACCGUGGAACUGCCUCUG
Molecule: ribosomal RNA, 275 nt
Filed under: uncultured bacterium
Lineage: Bacteria
Description: partial 16S ribosomal RNA
Rfam family: Bacterial small subunit ribosomal RNA
Source: RNAcentral